UACGGAGGUGGCUAACGUUACUCGGAAUUAUUGGGUGUAAAGGGCAAGUAGGCGGCUUAAUAAGUGGGGGGUGAAAUACUCCGGCUCAAUCGGAGAACUGCCUUCCAAACUGUUAAGCUUGAGUAUGACAGAGGAAAAUGGAAUUCUUGGUGUAAGGGUGAAAUCUGUAGAUAUCAAGAAGAACACCAGCUGCGAAGGCGAUUUUCUGGGUCAUUACUGACGCUAAAUUGCGAAAGCUAGGGGAG
Molecule: ribosomal RNA, 245 nt
Filed under: uncultured bacterium
Lineage: Bacteria
Description: partial 16S ribosomal RNA
Rfam family: Bacterial small subunit ribosomal RNA
Source: RNAcentral